GGGAAAUCUGAAGAAGAUUCUAUAACUCUGAGACAGAACAAUAUCUUGAGGAGUUCUGAGAAGAUUAUUAGCAGCAACUGUGAUAAAAGUAGAAAAUGUGGUUCCGAAUCAUUUGGUCAAAGUGCAGGUCAUGGAAACAAGGAUAAGAGUUAUAUCAUGGGCAAGCCAGUGGGUGGACAGCAAGAAACUGAUCAUGAUUCACCUUUGUGCACAAAAGAAAACUAUGAGAAGGAGGCACACACAACUAAUGGAAUGGUUAAAGCUGAAGUCUCUAAUGUUAAUUUAACUCAACAGACUAACGGAAGUGACAUAAAAAUAAAUCUUCUGUACCCACAAUUAGCUGAAAAUAUAGAUUGUGCAACUCAGUCAUCUCAAAAUGCAGAAGGAAGUAUAUGCCACCAAAAUCAAGAAAAA
RNAcentral lists this unclassified non-coding RNA (414 nucleotides) under Hevea brasiliensis (rubber tree). Lineage: Eukaryota; Viridiplantae; Streptophyta; Magnoliopsida; Malpighiales; Euphorbiaceae. The record is from RNAcentral.